GCCUUCUCUUCUCCAGGCUGAACAGCCCCAGCUCUUUCAGCCUGUACUCAUGGGGAAGGUGUUCCAUCUCUUGGAUGAUUUUUGUGGCCCUCCUUUGGAUGCACUCCACAGGUCCAUGUCUCUCCUGUACUGAGGACACCACAUCUGAACACAGUACUCCAGCAUCUUCCUGCCUGCACGGUACCCGACAACUUUGGGUGAAUUGCUGGUGUCUGA
This 216-nucleotide long non-coding RNA is filed under the name Gallus gallus (chicken). Lineage: Eukaryota; Metazoa; Chordata; Aves; Galliformes; Phasianidae. The record is from RNAcentral.